RNAcentral lists this ribosomal RNA (434 nucleotides) under uncultured bacterium. RNAcentral describes it as "partial 16S ribosomal RNA". It matches the Rfam family "Bacterial small subunit ribosomal RNA", at positions 29 to 507 of the family's 1533-position model. The record is from RNAcentral.
AGCGAACGCUGGCGGCAGGCCUAACACAUGCAAGUCGAACGAACCUUUCGGGGUUAGUGGCGGACGGGUGAGUAACACGUGGGAACGUGCCUUUAGGUUCGGAAUAACUCAGGGAAACUUGUGCUAAUACCGAAUGUGCCCUUCGGGGGAAAGAUUUAUCGCCUUUAGAGCGGCCCGCGUCUGAUUAGCUAGUUGGUUGAGGUAAUGGCUCACCAAGGCGACGAUCAGUAGCUGGUCUGAGAGGAUGAUCAGCCACAUUGGGACUGAGACACGGCCCAAACUCCUACGGGAGGCAGCAGUGGGGAAUCUUGCGCAAUGGGCAAAAGCCUGACGCAGCCAUGCCGCGUGAAUGAUGAAGGUCUUAGGAUUGUAAAAUUCUUUCACCGGGGACGAUAAUGACGGUACCCGGAGAAGAAGCCCCGGCUAACUUCGUG